UUGAACGCUGGCGGCAUGCUUUACACAUGCAAGUCGAACGGCAGCACGGGCUUCGGCCUGGUGGCGAGUGGCGAACGGGUGAGUAAUAUAUCGGAACGUACCCAGAAGUGGGGGAUAACGUAGCGAAAGUUACGCUAAUACCGCAUACGAUCUAUGGAUGAAAGCAGGGGACCGCAAGGCCUUGUGCUCCUGGAGCGGCCGAUAUCUGAUUAGCUAGUUGGUGAGGUAAAGGCUCACCAAGGCGACGAUCAGUAGCUGGUCUGAGAGGACGACCAGCCACACUGGAACUGAGACACGGUCCAGACUCCUACGGGAGGCAGCAGUGGGGAAUUUUGGACAAUGGGCGCAAGCCUGAUCCAGCAAUGCCGCGUGAGUGAAGAAGGCCUUCGGGUUGUAAAGCUCUUUUGUCAGGGAAGAAACGGUAGAGGCUAAUAUCCUUUGCUAAUGACGGUACCUGAAGAAUAAGCACCGGCUAACUACGUG
This 483-nucleotide ribosomal RNA is filed under the name uncultured bacterium. Its description in RNAcentral is "partial 16S ribosomal RNA". It matches the Rfam family "Bacterial small subunit ribosomal RNA", at positions 30 to 507 of the family's 1533-position model. The record is from RNAcentral.